Aphidius gifuensis is the source of this 1168-nucleotide long non-coding RNA. RefSeq lists it as uncharacterized. The record is from RefSeq and is a predicted model, not a curated record. Lineage: Eukaryota; Metazoa; Arthropoda; Insecta; Hymenoptera; Braconidae. The transcript has 2 exons.
CAAAUGACUCACCAAUGCACCAAUAUGCUCCAAGAGUUCUUUGUUUUGUAUAAGUAACUGAUGUGUUCUUGUCUACAAUCAUAAUUUUUAUAUUAUUAUUAUUAUUGUGAAGAUUAAUACAAAAAUGGGCGCAUGACCCUCUGGCUUCAGGGACUCGAGUUUAGUGUGACACACAAAACUGUCCUCGUUACCUACAUAUACGUAGUGCUCCAGACUUGUCACAAUAUUCAAUGAAUAACACAAAUUUUAUUACAAUAAAAAAAUCAAAUAAAUAAUUAUAAAAAUAGUCAUCAAAAAUGAUUGAUAUAAUUAUUUAAUUUCUUUGUACCAGUAUGUUGCUUUGUAUGUCAUUUGAUGAUUAAUCAUUCAAUUAAUUUUUAUUAAAUUGAUGAUACAAAAAUGUCCAGUUGUUUGUUGUUUUUUUUUUUUUUCGUUUCGUAAAUUGAGUUAAUAGAUGAAGAAAGAUCAUCUAAUGUUAACCGGACAUAAACGCGUACUGAAGUACUCUGUUACCCCUUCCAAAGUAAAAUACGAAAAAAAUAAAAAAAAAAUAAAAAAACAGAGGACUAUGGGUGGGCUAUUUUAAUAACUGGCUUAUUUAAAUACACCCGGCACUUUUAACAAACAGCAACACAUUGAAUUAAAUUUAAAUCUCGAUUAAUUUUCAAGCAAUCAUAUAAAUUUAUUUUUUAUUUUUUUCUUCAACUUUUUUUUUAUGAUGAGUCAAAGAAAUAUAAAAUCAUCAAAUUAAUUAUUUAUCCAUUGCUUUGUAUUGCUACUUAAUUUAUUAAAUUUUUUUGUUUCAUUUUAUGAAAACAAGGCAAAUAAUUAUUGGUCCAGACGUGCAUACACUAGACGCAACAAGUCGUGAAGUUAAAUUGUAAUAUUAAUAAACUGCAUAUGACUUUUUGCUAUAUUCGACAAUUUUUUUUUUUUUUUUUGUUUUAUUUAACUUUAAUUUUGGCAACUGCAUUUACCUGAAUCUUGAGCAAGAUAAUUUUUAUUUAUUUUAUUUUUAGGUCGUAUUUAAUUUUGAAUUUUCAAUGAUGAAUAAUUUUUGGAGAAAUUAUAUAUUCUAUUUAAAGUGUAAAUGAAAAUUAUUUGUGAUAAUAAAAUUAAUUAUUUUUACCUUUUUACUUGAUUUAAAGACGUUACAUUUGAAUGAAUU